RNAcentral lists this ribosomal RNA (477 nucleotides) under Pissodes pini. Its description in RNAcentral is "partial 16S ribosomal RNA". The record is from RNAcentral. Lineage: Eukaryota; Metazoa; Arthropoda; Insecta; Coleoptera; Curculionidae.
CUUUUUGAUAAUAAUUUAAAGUCUGACCUGCCCUAUGAGGAAUUAAAUGGCCGCGGUAAUUUGACCGUGCAAAGGUAGCAUAAUCAAUAGUUUUUUAAUUGAAAGCUGGAAUGAAAGGUUGGAUGAGAAAAUAACUGUCUCUAUUUAAAUUUAUUAGAAUUUUAUUUUUAAGUAAGANAGCUUAAAUAUUAAUAGAAGACGAGAAGACCCUAUAGAGUUUUAUAUUUUUAUUUUAGUGAAUUAUUUUAGUAUCUUAAUUAGUUUUUAAAAUAAAAUAUUUAAUUGGGGUGAUUUAAAAAUUAGAAAAACUUUUUUUAGUAUAAUACAUUUAUUUAUGAACAUAUGAUCCUUUUAUUUGGAUAAAUAGAUAAAAUUACCUUAGGGAUAACAGCGUUAUUUUUCUUUAGAGUUCAAAUUAAAAGAAAAGAUUGCGACCUCGAUGUUGGAUUAAAAUUAAUUUUUAAUGCAGAAGUUAAA